This 486-nucleotide ribosomal RNA is filed under the name uncultured bacterium. RNAcentral's name for it is "bacterial SSU rRNA". It matches the Rfam family "Bacterial small subunit ribosomal RNA", at positions 46 to 525 of the family's 1533-position model. The record is from RNAcentral.
GCUAACACAUGCAAGUCGAGGGGUAACAGGGAGAAGCUUGCUUUUCCGCUGACGACCGGCGCACGGGUGCGUAACGCGUAUACAAUCUGCCUUAUACUGGGGUAUAGCCUUUAGAAAUGAAGAUUAAUCCCCCAUAGUCUCUUAGAGUGGCAUCAUUUUAGGAGUAAAGGUUACGGUAUAAGAUGAGUAUGCGUUCUAUUAGUUUGUUGGUGAGGUAACGGCUCACCAAGGCUACGAUAGAUAGGGGCCCUGAGAGGGGGAUCCCCCACACUGGUACUGAGACACGGACCAGACUCCUACGGGAGGCAGCAGUGAGGAAUAUUGGACAAUGGAGGCAACUCUGAUCCAGCCAUGCCGCGUGCAGGAAGACUGCCCUAUGGGUUGUAAACUGCUUUUAUAUAGGAAGAAACCUACUUACGUGUAAGUAGCUGACGGUACUAUAAGAAUAAGGAUCGGCUAACUGCCGUGCCAGCCGCCGCGGUAAUA